GAAAUGCGAUAAGUAAUGUGAAUUGCAGAAUUCAGUGAAUCAUCGAAUCUUUGAACGCACCUUGCGCUCCUUGGUAUUCCUCGGAGCAUGCCUGUUUGAGUAUCAUGAAAUCUUCAAAGUAAAUCUUUUGUUAACUCAAUUGGUUUCUACUUUGGUAUUGGAGGUCUUUGCAGCUUCACACCUGCUCCUCUUUGUUCAUUAGCUGGAUCUCAGUGUUAUGCUUGGUUCCACUCGGCGUGAUAAGUUAUCUAUCGCUGAGGACACUGUAAAAGGUGGCCAAGGUAAAUGCAGAUGAAGCGCUUCUAAUAGUCCAUUGACUUGGACAAUACUUUUAUGAUCUGAUCUCAAAUCAGGUAGGACUACCCGCUGAACUUAAGC
RNAcentral lists this unclassified non-coding RNA (378 nucleotides) under plant metagenome. RNAcentral's name for it is "partial contains 5.8S ribosomal RNA, internal transcribed spacer 2, and large subunit ribosomal RNA". The stretch from base 1 to 105 matches the Rfam family "5.8S ribosomal RNA", at positions 50 to 154 of the family's 154-position model. The record is from RNAcentral.